AUAAUAAAAUGGCUAGUUGUAUGGAGAUUACAGGCUGCUCACCCACAUGGCAAUUGACUGUGGUAUAGUUGGAAGAUAGUUGUCAUGGGGUUGAACAACAACCGCAACGGAGCUAUAGAGUGACUGUCGUUCUCCUAUGUUGCAUCGGUUAUGGACUGAUGUACCUAGUGAUAGAUCGGACAAAAGCUGAGCUAAUCAUAAUAUUCUUUCUAGAUCACUUCAGAUCA
This 227-nucleotide long non-coding RNA is filed under the name Elaeis guineensis (African oil palm). Its description in RNAcentral is "long non-coding RNA (EGUI_LNC037039)". The record is from RNAcentral. Lineage: Eukaryota; Viridiplantae; Streptophyta; Magnoliopsida; Arecales; Arecaceae.